This 406-nucleotide ribosomal RNA is filed under the name uncultured bacterium. RNAcentral describes it as "bacterial SSU rRNA". It matches the Rfam family "Bacterial small subunit ribosomal RNA", at positions 8 to 429 of the family's 1533-position model. The record is from RNAcentral.
AGAGUUUGAUCCUGGCUCAGAAUCAACGCUGGCGGCGUGCCUAACACAUGCAAGUCGAACGAGAAAGUGGAGCAAUCCAUGAGUACAGUGGCGACCGGGUGAGUAACACGUGACUACCUGCCCUUGAGUGGGGGAUAACCUCGGGAAACCGAGGCUAAUACCGCAUAAUAUCGCAAGAUCAAAGGAGCAAUCCGCUUUUGGAGGGGGUCGCGGCUGAUUAGCUAGUUGGUAGGGUAAUGGCCUACCAAGGCAAAGAUCGGUAUCCGGCCUGAGAGGGCGCACGGACACACUGGAACUGAAACACGGUCCAGACUCCUACGGGAGGCAGCAGUGGGGAAUUUUGCGCAAUGGGGGAAACCCUGACGCAGCAACGCCGCGUGGAGGAUGAAGGCCCUUGGGUCGUAAA